Long non-coding RNA from Fundulus heteroclitus (mummichog), 302 nucleotides. RefSeq lists it as uncharacterized. The record is from RefSeq and is a predicted model, not a curated record. Lineage: Eukaryota; Metazoa; Chordata; Actinopteri; Cyprinodontiformes; Fundulidae. The transcript is spliced from 3 exons.
AAGUUGGAACCAGAACCUGGAGUGGGGACUGAGGAAGAAGCAGGGGGUCAUGGAACAGAUAAACAUUGGAGGGUGGACGGCCAGGCGAGUGAGCAAUGGUGUCAAAGGAAUUUAAUAAUCAAGGAACGAGGAAGCAGAGCACAGGAAGCCAGGAACUGAGCAUGAACAAGUGAAAUGGAUCCUGAAACAACAGCAAAGGAAGUCUGCUCUUCUUCAUGCUCCUCCUGAUUGGGCUCGAUGAGCUGCAGCUGGAAGGAGCACACCUGCCAGUCACAGUGAAAGAAGGUGAGGAGAAACACGGG